AGCGUAGACGGUGUGGCAAGUCUGAUGUGAAAGGCAUGGGCUCAACCUGUGGACUGCAUUGGAAACUGUCAUACUUGAGUGCCGGAGGGGUAAGCGGAAUUCCUAGUGUAGCGGUGAAAUGCGUAGAUAUUAGGAGGAACACCAGUGGCGAAGGCGGCUUACUGGACUGUAACUGACGUUGAGGCUCGAAAGCGUGGGAGCAAACA
RNAcentral lists this ribosomal RNA (206 nucleotides) under uncultured bacterium. RNAcentral's name for it is "partial 16S ribosomal RNA". It matches the Rfam family "Bacterial small subunit ribosomal RNA", at positions 568 to 774 of the family's 1533-position model. The record is from RNAcentral.